AUCCGUCAACCCUCAGUUUGUUCUCCGUUUUUAAGAGUCUCUUAGGGUUUGGCUUCCUCCCUUUCUAACCUUUUUUUUCCCCUUCCCCUCCCCCAUGGUCUUCUGUUAAGUUUCUCAGGAUCCACAUAAGAGUGAAAACAUGGUAUCUGUUUUUCUCUUUAUGACUUAUUUCACUUAGCAUAAUACCCUCCAGUUCCAUCCACGUUGCUACAAAAGGCCAUAUUUCAUUCUUUCUCAUUGCCAAGUACUAUCCCAUUGUGUAUAUAAACCACAGUUUCUUUAUCCAUUCAUCAGCUGAUGGACAUUUAGGCUCUUUCCAUAAUUUGGCUAUUGUUCUUCAUGUGGCAUUCAGAUGGUUAGACGAUACAACGAAAAGUUUUGGGGAAAAAUAAUUGUGACUUGGCGGACAGUGAUGAUUAUUUUAAUCACCAAAUGUCCUAGAGAUUUCACAAGCUGAGAAUUUGCUGGUAGAUUCCAAAGGUGCAAAUGGUGUGAUUGGGGGGAAGAACUUCAGCUGAAGAAUAAUGGUAUAUGCGGCUAUUUGCUUGGAAACAUGAAUACCCAUCCUUAUUUCUGGGUAAUGCCGGAAGUUAGAAUUUGUUAGGACAUAAGUGGGAAUUUUUAAAUGGCCAGGAACAUUCUAGGCUCUGAGCUCAGUCAGGGUGUGGCUAUUUCUGAAAAUUUCCACUAAGGGCCUGUCUUAGUGUGCUCCAAAACUGCCAUAAGAAAAUACCAUGGACUGAGUGGUUUCAACAACAGAAAUGAACUUUCUCACAGUCCUGGAAGCUGGAAGUCAGAUCAGGGCACCAGCCAGCCUGGUCAGGUUCAGGUGAGAACUCUUCCUGACUUGCAGACAGCCACCCUCGCUGUGGUCUCACAUGGCCCAGAGAAAGAGAACAAGAGAAAGAGAGCUGGGUCUUUUCAAAGGCCACUGUCCUAUCUGACUUGGGCCCCACCCUCAGGACCUCAUUUAACCUUAAUGAACCCCCUGAAGGUGCCAUCUCCAGAUGGAGUCACACUGGGACUUAAGAUUUCAACAUGAAUGGAGUAGGGGCACAAUUCAGUCCAUAGCAAAGCUCAUCCUAAAAACCUUCCAGGCUGUAGUGUAAAUGACAUGCGGAUGUCCACCUAUGUGAUGGUAUUUGGGUUUACAUCGUUGUAAGUCCCGGUUGGGGUUUCUCAAUAGUUAGCUAAGAUGAUGAAUGGACUGGACUGAGGGACAAGAGGUGAGGCAAGAUUGUGGGAGAAGUCACUCUGGCCACUUCUAAGUUGUUCGAUGGGCACUGUCUAAUCCUCACCACAACCCUAUGAGCUCAUGCCUGUUUUAGAGAUGAAGAGACAGGCCCGGAUGUGCCCAAAGUCAUGUUAAAUUUAGCAGAGCUGGCAUUUAGAUGUGGCCUCAGGGGCCCAGGAUUCUGCUUCUGAGUGCCACACUAGAAUUCCCAAGUCACAGUCACCAAAGGAUCUGAGGGACACCGGUUACUAGGGAGUGCUUCUGUGACACGUUCUGUCUUAAGGAACUUUAUAGGGCAUAAGCCCUUCCAUUUCAAUCCUCACAUUUUCCAGUUGAGAAAAACAGCCCUAGAGAAGAUGAAAAGUCCAAAUGUAGUUCUAGGUUGAAAAUGCUUUAUGAACUCAAAAGUGCUAUUCUGUUGCUAGGUAUUAAUUAUUGUCACUAUUAUUACUGUUAUUAUCAUGUUAAUAUCUCCUGGCUAGUCCCCCUAGCCAAGCCUUCCAUGUAAAUGAUGCGCUACAUUUCAUAAUCCUGGAGGGAAUGAUCCUUUACACUUCAAAACAUUUUCCAUGUUCCAGAUGAAGAUAAUGAGUCUUCUUCAUCUCCAAUAGGUUUAGUGGCCAAUUGUAGCUUCAGGAGUUUCUGGACCUUCUAUGUGAGCGUUAGGAAGACCAGGGCUCAGAGACCAGGGUGUGAAAUAAUGACCUGAGUGGCGCUCAAAUCGUAAACCCCAUUCUGCCAUUGAUUUAUCUGGGUGGUGGAUUCUGCAGCUCUCCACUCUUCCUUUGUCCCAUUUGUAGGUGGGGGAAAUAACAUAGUUAUUAGGAAGGGCACUAAGGAAAAGCCCUUAGCUGUGGUCCUGGCUCUGUUUAACCUCAAAACCCAGAUACGUGCUUUGGUGUCCUCAGUCGGGUUCAGGAGCCCAUUUAGCUUGGUCUUUCUGGGUCAGUGUGACUUUAGUCCUCAAGCCUGGUUUUUGCUUAUUCAUUCAAGAAAACAGUGAUGUGACUGUUUUGCAUAUAAUACCACAAAGAUUUAGAAAUGUACACCUUCACUGUGAUCGUCAUCAUUGGAGUUAAAAUAGGUUUUAAAGUCAGAAAGCAAGGCUGGUUACUAGGGAAAGGGGAUUUGGCAAGAAAAGCGGAAGCCCACAGGAUUGAAGGGAAGCCAGAAUCAUGUUUAGGACUAGAACCCUGUGGAUUAAGGAGCCUCCUUCGUAAGAGCGGUCUGCUCAGGGAGCGCCUACCCUUGUGCAUUCCCUCUCUUAUCCCUAAGUCACCUGCUCCAGAUUCAGUUUUGCGGAUAACAGCAACUGGUCAUGGGAGCCUAGCCCACUACCACUCCCUGCAUUUACAGGAAGUGUCGGUUAAAAGGACCUCUCGGGGCUUUUUGGUUCCUGUGCUGAGGCCUGAAUUGACAACCAAUAGGGAAAGAGAUCAUUACCCACAAAGGAAAUUGAGGUUGCUACGAUGGGGAACAGACGCUAGGCAAGUCACUCUAGGGGGCUACAAACCAUAAAUUCUGGAAUAAAACGUAUUAAGUGUAUUCUAUGUGCCAAGGUGUUUACAUGAAAACAUUUCUUAUUCCUCAAAUUCCUAUGAGCCCAUUUAAUAGGCAGUUUUGAGAAGGAUGCUCAGAUCAUGAGCCACAUUAUGAAAAGCCCUCCCAUCUCUGGCCUUUUAGCCUUCUUUAGAAAAGCGCCUUCCAUGAGAUGGGCUCUUGGGAACUGUGUGCUUGUUUUUACCCCCAUGGUAGCUGAUAGGACCACUGAAAAAGCUUCCUGUCAAGUUGCGCAGGAAGGAAAUAGGAGAUCACGUGGGCCUUGUUUUCACAUAGGAACUGACCUGCGACGUGAACUGGUUUGCAGGGAGAACGAAACAGACACCCCCAUUAAAAUGAGAGCACUCCCAUUUCUAACCCCUUACUGAUGCUCAACUAGAUUCCUGCCCUUGGGUUCCUAGAAGCAACCCAUUAUCCUUACCAUUUCCCUUCAGUGCCAGAGUUAAUUUGAAUAGGAUUUUAUUACUUGUAACUGGCAUCCUAACAGGCAUGGUCAGGAUGCACAGAAGACUUCAUCACCUAACCCUGUGUCAGAAGCCUUGAAACGCCCAAGAUGAAACCGCUGUACCCAGAAGUUAGAGGAAAUUGGAACAACCCUGAGUUUAAACAAACAAAAAAAAAAUCCGUUUGGGGGACACCUGGGUGGCUCCGUCCGCUAAGCGGCCGACUUUUGCUUUCCGCUCAGGUCACGGCUUCAUGAUUUCGUGAGUUCCAGCCCCGCGUCGGGCUCUGUGCUGACAGUGCGGAGCCUGCUUGAGAUUCUUUCUCUCCCUCUCGCUCUGCCCCUUCCCCGCUCUUGCUCUCUCUUUCAAUAUAAAUAAACUUCAAAAAAAAAAAAAAAAUCUUUGAUUUGAGAAAAGGCCAACACCCUUCACUUCUAAGCUCCUUGACUCGUGAGAGCAGUUCUGCGAGUUGAGGCCGACUACGUUACGACAAAAACCUACCUGAGCGGCCUCCUCACCCAAAGUGGCCAAGCGGCUCCGCGCGGGAACUUUAUGGCCUGGCUCUCAGAAGGCCGCGUUUUCUUCCCACUGUGAUUGCAGAUCCCAGCGAAACGGACAAUGCGCAAGUUCCCUGUAGGGAAGGGAAUUGGAGGCGCAAGCCGAGCAGGGAGAAGCCAAUAGGAGAGGUCCAGAAGGCGGCCCAAAGGCAGACUCACGCACACCCUGCCAGGGUGGGCCACCACUGUCCCCACAGCCCUGCUCCGAAUGCGUUACGAGACCAGGAGUCUCUCUCUGGAAGGUGAUGGUUGACGUUUGCUGUCACGUGACCCAAACGUUGGCUAAGCGUGUGAGGGGCGGAGCUUCGGGCCCGGGCUGGAGGGUGGCUCCCCGGCCAAAGCGGAGAACCGCCGCGCCGCAGGUCGGGAGCCCCGCGUGCCCUGGAGCUCUCUGCUUUUCGAUGCCCUCCUUUCUAAGCCUUGUCACCCAAGGGGAGCUGUUGCAAAAGACUGAGGCAUCCGAAACCCUUUGUCUUCUGAGCUCUUGAAGAACGUUUGCAAACCCACCUCUUUUGAGCUGGAUGGAAGGUGCCUCCUUACGGUGUGGCCUUAAGCUUGAUAAAGAAUGACUUACUCUGGACUGCUGCAGUGACAGAGUAUCUAGAUGUGACAGGACAUGCUCAAGACCAGAGACAAGAAUAUAAACAGUGGGAGUGAAGAGACUCUGGGCAGUCGAGAACACGGGAUGGUAAAAGACGGAUAUAGUGUUUUUUGCGUGGGUUUUUUUUUGUUGUUGUUUGUUUGUUUUUUCAGUGAAGAGUUCCUUAUUCGGUAAAAAGAAGUGGGCAAGACUUAAGAGCUUUGGUGCUUUGGUGGAAUUUUCUCCAGUGUGAUUUCUUUGAAAGUUCCUUCCCCUCCAUUGUCUCUUGUUCUCUCUUUCCAGAAUUCCUACCAGUCAGACAGAUCCAGUCAGAUGACCCUCCCAACCCCACCACCCCCAUUCGUUCUUUAAUUUUCUUAUCCUUUAUCUUUUUUUAUUCCUUUGUCUUUUUGUUUCAUUUUUCAGAGAGACUUCCUUUACUUUUUCUUUUAGCUCUCCUCUAUGUUCUGACUUAACUCUUUGCUUUUUUCCCAUUUUCAAAACCUCUUUCUUGUUUUUUCAUAACAUCCUUUUCGUAGUGCAUUCGAUGGG
Long non-coding RNA from Neofelis nebulosa (Clouded leopard), 4926 nucleotides. RefSeq lists it as uncharacterized. The transcript has 3 exons. Lineage: Eukaryota; Metazoa; Chordata; Mammalia; Carnivora; Felidae. The record is from RefSeq and is a predicted model, not a curated record.